Molecule: ribosomal RNA, 774 nt
Filed under: Salmonella enterica subsp. enterica serovar Braenderup
Lineage: Bacteria; Pseudomonadati; Pseudomonadota; Gammaproteobacteria; Enterobacterales; Enterobacteriaceae
Description: bacterial LSU rRNA
Rfam family: Bacterial large subunit ribosomal RNA
Source: RNAcentral
AAGUGUGGACGCCAGUCUGCAUGGAGCCGACCUUGAAAUACCACCCUUUAAUGUUUGAUGUUCUAACGUGGAUCCGUGAUCCGGGUUGCGGACAGUGUCUGGUGGGUAGUUUGACUGGGGCGGUCUCCUCCUAAAGAGUAACGGAGGAGCACGAAGGUUGGCUAAUCCUGGUCGGACAUCAGGAGGUUAGUGCAAUGGCAUAAGCCAGCUUGACUGCGAGCGUGACGGCGCGAGCAGGUGCGAAAGCAGGUCAUAGUGAUCCGGUGGUUCUGAAUGGAAGGGCCAUCGCUCAACGGAUAAAAGGUACUCCGGGGAUAACAGGCUGAUACCGCCCAAGAGUUCAUAUCGACGGCGGUGUUUGGCACCUCGAUGUCGGCUCAUCACAUCCUGGGGCUGAAGUAGGUCCCAAGGGUAUGGCUGUUCGCCAUUUAAAGUGGUACGCGAGCUGGGUUUAGAACGUCGUGAGACAGUUCGGUCCCUAUCUGCCGUGGGCGCUGGAGAACUGAGGGGGGCUGCUCCUAGUACGAGAGGACCGGAGUGGACGCAUCACUGGUGUUCGGGUUGUCAUGCCAAUGGCACUGCCCGGUAGCUAAAUGCGGAAGAGAUAAGUGCUGAAAGCAUCUAAGCACGAAACUUGCCCCGAGAUGAGUUCUCCCUGAGACUUUAGGUCUCCUGAAGGAACGUUGAAGACGACGACGUUGAUAGGCCGGGUGUGUAAGCGCAGCGAUGCGUUGAGCUAACCGGUACUAAUGAACCGUGAGGCUUAACCUUACA